UUCCCUCCGAAGUUUCCCUCAGGAUAGCUGGAGCCCUUAGCGAGUUCUAUCGGGUAAAGCCAAUGAUUAGAGGCAUCGGGGGCGCAACGCCCUCGACCUAUUCUCAAACUUUAAAUAGGUAGGACGGUGCGGCUGCUUCGUUGAGCAGCGCCACGAAAUCUAGAGCUCCAAGUGGGCCAUUUUUGGUAAGCAGAACUGGCUAUGCGGGAUGAACCGGAAGCCGGGUUACGGUGCCCAACUGCGCGCUAACCUAGAACCCACAAAGGGUGUUGGUCGAUUAAGACAGCAGCACGGUGGUCAUGGAAGUCGGAAUCCGCUAAGGAGUGUGUAACAACUCACCUGCCGAAUCAACUAGCCCCGAAAAUGGAUGGCGCUGAAGCGCGUGACCUAUACCCGGCCGUCGGGGCAAGAGCCAAGCCCCGAUGAGUAAGAGGCCGUGGCGUUCGCCGUAAAACCCGGGGCGCGAGCCCAGGCGGAGCGGACGUCGGUGCAGAUCUUGGUGGUAGUACGGCCCGCGAGGAGUAGGAGGGCAUGGCAGUCGCCGCAAAACCCGGGGCGCGAGCCCUGGUGGAGCGGCCGUCAGUG
RNAcentral lists this non-coding RNA (585 nucleotides) under Gossypium hirsutum (cotton). RNAcentral describes it as "Eukaryotic large subunit ribosomal RNA". The stretch from base 1 to 501 matches the Rfam family "Eukaryotic large subunit ribosomal RNA", at positions 955 to 1455 of the family's 3401-position model. The record is from Rfam by way of RNAcentral. Lineage: Eukaryota; Viridiplantae; Streptophyta; Magnoliopsida; Malvales; Malvaceae.